This 446-nucleotide ribosomal RNA is filed under the name uncultured bacterium. Its description in RNAcentral is "bacterial SSU rRNA". It matches the Rfam family "Bacterial small subunit ribosomal RNA", at positions 329 to 792 of the family's 1533-position model. The record is from RNAcentral.
CGCCAGACUCCUACGGGAGGCAGCAGUGGGGAAUAUUGCACAAUGGGGGAAACCCUGAUGCAGCGACGCCGCGUGAGCGAUGAAGUAUUUCGGUAUGUAAAGCUCUAUCAGCAGGGAAGAAAAUGACGGUACCUGACUAAGAAGCCCCGGCUAACUACGUGCCAGCAGCCGCGGUAAUACGUAGGGGGCAAGCGUUAUCCGGAUUUACUGGGUGUAAAGGGAGCGUAGACGGCUGUGCAAGCCAGAUGUGAAAGCCCGGGGCUCAACCCCGGGACUGCAUUUGGAACUGUGUGGCUGGAGUGUCGGAGAGGCAGGCGGAAUUCCUAGUGUAGCGGUGAAAUGCGUAGAUAUUAGGAGGAACACCAGUGGCGAAGGCGGCCUGCUGGACGAUGACUGACGUUGAGGCUCGAAAGCGUGGGGAGCAAACAGGAUUAGAUACCCUCGUA